RNAcentral lists this ribosomal RNA (107 nucleotides) under Acidobacteriota bacterium. The record is from RNAcentral. Lineage: Bacteria; Pseudomonadati; Acidobacteriota.
GUGACUUUACCCUAGGGGUCACACCCGUUCCCAUUCCGAACACGGCAGUUAAGCCCUAGAGGGCCGAUGAUACUUCCCCAGACAGGGGCGGAAAAGUAGGUCGUUGC